UCGAGGAUCUUCGGCAAUGGGCGCAAGCCUGACCGAGCGACGCCGCGUGUGCGAUGAAGGCCUUCGGGUUGUAAAGCACUGUCGAGGGGGAGGAAGCCGAAAGGUUGACCUAUCCCUGGAGGAAGCACGGGCUAAGUUCGUGCCAGCAGCCGCGGUAAGACGAACCGUGCGAACGUUGUUCGGAUUCACUGGGCUUAAAGGGCGCGUAGGCGGCUUGUCAAGUCAGGGGUGAAAUCUUUCGGCUUAACCGGAAAAGUGCCCCUGAUACUGAUGAGCUCGAGGAAGGUAGGGGCAUGUGGAACUUCCGGUGGAGCGGUGAAAUGCGUAGAUAUCGGAAGGAACGCCGGUGGCGAAAGCGACGUGCUGGACCUUUUCUGACGCUGAGGCGCGAAAGCUAGGGGAGCGAACGG
RNAcentral lists this ribosomal RNA (410 nucleotides) under uncultured bacterium. RNAcentral describes it as "bacterial SSU rRNA". It matches the Rfam family "Bacterial small subunit ribosomal RNA", at positions 355 to 775 of the family's 1533-position model. The record is from RNAcentral.